UUGUUGCAGUUAAAAAGCUCGUAGUUGGACUUUAGGCAAGGCGGCCUGGUCACCCUCUGGGUGUACUGGGAUCGCUGCGCCUCACCUUCGGGGAGCUAGUCGUGCUUCGGUGCGCUAGGGAACCGAGCCUUACCUUGAGGAAAUUAGAGUGUUUAAAGCAGGCUUAUGCUUGAAUACGUUAGCAUGGAAUAACAUGAUAGGACUUUGGUUCUAUUUUGUUGGUUUGAGGACCAAAGUAAUGAUUAAUAGGGACAGUUGGGGGCAUUAGUAUUCAAUAGUCAGAGGUGAAAUUCUUGGAUUUAUUGAAGACUAACUAAUGCGAAAGCAUUUGCCAAGGAUGUUUUCAUUAAUCAAGAACGAAAGUUAGGGGAUCGAAGACGAUUAGAUACCGUCGUAGUCUUAACCAUAAACUAUGCCGACUAGGGAUCGGUGGAAGUCGAUUUUGACUCCAUCGGCACCUUACGAGAAAUCAAAGUUUUUGGGUUCUGGGGGGAGUAUGGUCGCAAGGCUGAAACUUAAAGGAAUUGACGGAAGGGCACCACCAGGAGUGGAGCCUGCGGCUUAAUUUGACUCAACACGGGAAAACUCACCAGGUCCGGACAUGGGAAGGAUUGACAGAUUGAGAGCUCU
This 630-nucleotide ribosomal RNA is filed under the name uncultured eukaryote. Its description in RNAcentral is "SSU rRNA". It matches the Rfam family "Eukaryotic small subunit ribosomal RNA", at positions 610 to 1258 of the family's 1831-position model. The record is from RNAcentral.